GAUGAACGCUAGCGGGAGGCCUAAUACAUGCAAGUCGAACGGUAAGGUCCCUUCGGGGAUACACGAGUGGCGGACGGGUGCGUAACGCGUACGAAACAUACCUUCAACAGGGAGAUACCUCCGGGAAACUGGAAAUAAUACCCCAUAGUAUUGAGAUAUCGCAUGAUAUUUCAAUUAAAGCUUUGGCGGUUGAAGAUUGUCGUGCGUCUGAUUAGCUAGUUGGUGAGGUAACGGCUCACCAAGGCGACGAUCAGUAGCUGGUCUGAGAGGAUGAUCAGCCACACUGGAACUGAGACACGGUCCAGACUCCUACGGGAGGCAGCAGUAGGGAAUAUUGGACAAUGGGCGGAAGCCUGAUCCAGCCAUCCCGCGUGUAGGAAUAAGGCCCU
RNAcentral lists this ribosomal RNA (389 nucleotides) under uncultured bacterium. Its description in RNAcentral is "bacterial SSU rRNA". It matches the Rfam family "Bacterial small subunit ribosomal RNA", at positions 28 to 418 of the family's 1533-position model. The record is from RNAcentral.